GACGAACGCUGGCGGCGUGCUUAACACAUGCAAGUCGAACGAAGUGGCGAACGGGUGAGUAACGCGUAAUCAACCUGCACUUCAGAGGGGGACAACAGGGGGAAACGACUGCUAAUACCGCAUACUGAAGGAGGGGAUUGCGUCUGAUUAGCUAGUUGGAGGGGUAACGGCCCACCAAGUCGAUGAUCAGUAGCCGGUCCGAGAGGAUGAACGGCAACAUUCGGACUGAGACACGGCCCAGACUCCUACGGGAGGCAGCACUGGGGAGUCUUCCGCGAUGGACGAAAGUCUGACGGAGCAACGCCGCGUGAGUGAUGACGGCCUUCGGGUUGUAGAGCUCUGUUAAUCGUGACGCGGUACCGUAAUAGAAAGCCACGGCUAACUACGUGCCAGCAGCCGCGGUAAUUC
This 408-nucleotide ribosomal RNA is filed under the name uncultured bacterium. RNAcentral describes it as "partial 16S ribosomal RNA". It matches the Rfam family "Bacterial small subunit ribosomal RNA", at positions 28 to 526 of the family's 1533-position model. The record is from RNAcentral.